Molecule: ribosomal RNA, 295 nt
Filed under: uncultured bacterium
Lineage: Bacteria
Description: partial 16S ribosomal RNA
Rfam family: Bacterial small subunit ribosomal RNA
Source: RNAcentral
CUAUGCGCCUUGCCAGCCCGCUCAGGUGUGCCAGCGCGCGGUAAUACGAGGAUCCGAGCGUUAUCCGGAUUUAUUGGUUUAAAGGGAGCGUAGAUGGAUGUUUAAGUCAGUUGUGAAAGUUUGCGGCUCAACCGUAAAAUUGCAGUUGAUACUGGAUAUCUUGAGUGCAGUUGAGGCAGGCGGAAUUCGUGGUGUAGCGGUGAAAUGCUUAGAUAUCACGAAGAACUCCGAUUGCGAAGGCAGCCUGCUAAGCUGCAACUGACAUUGAGGCUCGAAAGUGUGGGUAUCAAACAGG